Molecule: ribosomal RNA, 468 nt
Filed under: uncultured bacterium
Lineage: Bacteria
Description: partial 16S ribosomal RNA
Rfam family: Bacterial small subunit ribosomal RNA
Source: RNAcentral
GACGAACGCUGGCGGCGUGCUUAACACAUGCAAGUCGAACGGAAAGGCCCUGCUUUUGUGGGGUGCUCGAGUGGCGAACGGGUGAGUAACACGUGAGUAACCUGCCCUUGACUUUGGGAUAACUUCAGGAAACUGGGGCUAAUACCGGAUAGGAGCUCCUGCUGCAUGGUGGGGGUUGGAAAGUUUCGGCGGUUGGGGAUGGACUCGCGGCUUAUCAGCUUGUUGGUGGGGUAGUGGCUUACCAAGGCUUUGACGGGUAGCCGGCCUGAGAGGGUGACCGGCCACAUUGGGACUGGGAUACGGCCGCGACUCCUACGGGAGGCAGCAGUGGGGCAUAUUGCACAAUGGGCGGAAGCCUGAUGCAGCAACGCCGCGUGCGGGAUGACGGCCUUCGGGUUGUAAACCGCUUUCGCCUGUGACGAAGCGUGAGUGACGGUAAUGGGUAAAGAAGCACCGGCUAACUACGUG